This 443-nucleotide ribosomal RNA is filed under the name uncultured bacterium. Its description in RNAcentral is "bacterial SSU rRNA". It matches the Rfam family "Bacterial small subunit ribosomal RNA", at positions 338 to 795 of the family's 1533-position model. The record is from RNAcentral.
CCUACGGGAGGCAGCAGUGGGGAAUAUUGCACAAUGGGGGAAACCCUGAUGCAGCGACGCCGCGUGAAGGAAGAAGGUUUUCGGAUCGUAAACUUCUAUCAGCAGGGAAGAAGAAAGUGACAGUACCUGACUAAGAAGCCCCGGCUAACUACGUGCCAGCAGCCGCGGUAAUACGUAGGGGGCAAGCGUUGUCCGGAAUAACUGGGCGUAAAGGGUGUGUAGGUGGAACGUUAAGUUAGGCGUGAAAUCCCAUGGCUUAACCAUGGGCUUGCGUCUGAAACUGUCGUUCUUGAGUCACGCAGAGGUAAGUGGAAUUCCUGGUGUAGCGGUGAAAUGCUAAGAUAUCAGGAAGAACACCGGUGGCGUAGGCGGCUUACUGGGCGUUGACUGACACUGAGACACGAAAGCGUGGGUAGCAAACAGGAUUAGAUACCCGAGUAGUC